Molecule: transfer RNA, 93 nt
Filed under: Streptomyces capillispiralis
Lineage: Bacteria; Bacillati; Actinomycetota; Actinomycetes; Kitasatosporales; Streptomycetaceae
Description: tRNA-Val
Source: RNAcentral
CGCCCGCAAGGUGAUGGCGGUGUGCGCGGGGACGCUGACGCCGUUCCUCGCCGAAUGCGGCGGGAAGGACGCGGUGAUCGUCACCGCGGACGC